CCUACGGGUGGCAGCAGUGAGGAAUAUUGGUCAAUGGACGAGAGUCUGAACCAGCCAAGUAGCGUGAAGGAUGACUGCCCUAUGGGCUGUAAACUUCUUUUAUAGAGGAAUAAAACGAGGCACGUGUGCAUCUUUGCAUGUACGUUAUGAACAAGGAUCGGCUAACUCCGUGCCAGCAGCCACGGUAAUACGGAGGAUCCGAGCGUUAUCCGGAUUUAUUGGGUUUAAAGUGAGCGUAGAUGGGUUGUUAAGUCAGUUGUGAAAGUUUGCGGCUCAACCGUAAAAUUGCAAUUGAUACUGGCAGUCUUGAGUACAGGUGAGGUAGGCGGAAUUCGUGGUGUAGCAGUGAAAUGCUUAGAUAUCACGAAGAACCCCGAUUGCGAAGGCAGCUUACUAAACUGUGACUGACAUUGAUGCUCGAAAGUGUGGGUAUCAAACAGGAUUAGAUACCCUGGUAGUC
RNAcentral lists this ribosomal RNA (460 nucleotides) under uncultured bacterium. RNAcentral describes it as "partial 16S ribosomal RNA". It matches the Rfam family "Bacterial small subunit ribosomal RNA", at positions 338 to 795 of the family's 1533-position model. The record is from RNAcentral.